AGUAGUUCGAUCCUGGCUCAGGACGAACGCUGGCGGCGUGCUUAACACAUGCAAGUCGAACGGAGCACCCUGAAGGAGUUUUCGGACAACGGAUGGGAAUGCUUAGUGGCGGACUGGUGAGUAACGCGUGAGGAACCUGCCUUCCAGGGGGGGACAACAGUUGGAAACGACUGCUAAUACCGCAUGAUGCGUUGGAGCCGCAUGACUCCGACGUCAAAGAUUUAUCGCUGGAAGAUGGCCUCGCGUCUGAUUAGCUAGUUGGUGAGGUAACGGCCACCAAGGCGACGAUCAGUAGCCGGACUGAGAGGUUGGCCGGCCACAUUGGGACUGAGAUACGGCCCAGACUCCUACGGGAGGCAGCAGUGGGGAAUAUUGGGCAAUGGACGCAAGUCUGACCCAGCAACGCCGCGUGAAGGAAGAAGGCUUUCGGGUUGUAAACUUCUUUUAAGGGGGAAGAGCGGAAGACGGUACCCUUUGAAUAAGCCACGGCUAACUACGUG
Molecule: ribosomal RNA, 500 nt
Filed under: uncultured Oscillibacter sp.
Lineage: Bacteria; Bacillati; Bacillota; Clostridia; Eubacteriales; Oscillospiraceae
Description: bacterial SSU rRNA
Rfam family: Bacterial small subunit ribosomal RNA
Source: RNAcentral